GGGGAUUUAGCUCAGCGGCAUAAGCGCCUGCCUUGCAAGCAGGCAGUCGUGAGUUCGAUCCUUGUUAUCGAUA
This 73-nucleotide transfer RNA is filed under the name Cavia porcellus (domestic guinea pig). It matches the Rfam family "tRNA". Rfam says of the family: Transfer RNA (tRNA) molecules are approximately 80 nucleotides in length. Their secondary structure includes four short double-helical elements and three loops (D, anti-codon, and T loops). The record is from Rfam by way of RNAcentral. Lineage: Eukaryota; Metazoa; Chordata; Mammalia; Rodentia; Caviidae.